RNAcentral lists this ribosomal RNA (259 nucleotides) under uncultured prokaryote. Its description in RNAcentral is "partial 16S ribosomal RNA". It matches the Rfam family "Bacterial small subunit ribosomal RNA", at positions 524 to 782 of the family's 1533-position model. The record is from RNAcentral.
CACGUAGGGGACGAGCGUUAUCCGGAUUUAUUGGGUUUAAAGGGUGCGCAGGUUGUUUGAUAAGUCAGUGGUGAAAGUCUGUCGCUUAACGGUAGGAUUGCCAUUGAUACUGUUAGACUUGAAUAUGGAUGAGGUAGGCGGAAUGUGUAGUGUAGCGGUGAAAUGCAUAGAUAUUACACAGAACACCGAUUGCGAAGGCAGCUUACUAAUCCAUCAUUGACGCUGAGGCACGAAAGCGUGGGGAUCGAACAGGAUUAGA